UAAUGAAAGGUUAACAUGCUGUGUAAUCCUGAGUUUAAUCAUGUUAGAUGAUCUAUCAAGGGUGGUAUUUAAAAUUGUACAUGAGUGCUGGUAUGUAACAAUUUGAGAAAACAAGGGAUUAUCUUUUGGCAUUCCUCGGAUUUUGAAUAUUGAAGGAGCUUGAAACAUUGUAUUCGGCUUGGUUCCAGGGGUGGGAUUUAGAUGUGUAUUGGUCAGAUAUUUGCCGGAAAAUUGAGACAUCCUGUUAAUAUUUUGGGGCUUGAACUGUCGUGAUUGUGGCAGGCUCAGAAACUUUUCUUUUUCAUUUUUUGGUUUAAAGAAUAUGACGUGCUUUUGCUGAAGUAUUUUGUUGAUAUGAUAGGGGACUAGCCAUAUACAAGCAGUCUGCGGAAGUGCAGGUUCUAGAGAAAAUGUGUUUUCUUACAAAGAUUACCCAAUCUUCAUUGUCAAUUGGAAUCGCGUAUCUGCUCCAAAAACUUGCAGAGAACUUAAAUGAUCCUCUGAUAUGUACAUAGGAGUUUAGCUUCUUCAAAGUUUUUUUUUUCUUUCCAUAUUAGUCGCAUAAGUGCUAGAGGAGCCAUUUCCAUAUCUACUCCUUUUCCUCUUGAAUUCCCAACUCAGAAUAAGUCUAUUAUGGUAGCCGGCAUUACCUGGUGCCAAACAUGUUCCACGCCGUGUUCCACAAUUGGCAUUCAAUAUGACUGAAAUCGCAAGUGGUUGACAUCUUGUCGCGACUUCUUGCACCCAAAGCACGAGUAGAUGUGAAGUAUCUUCUAUUUCCUCAAAUUCUCAGCUGUUAGAAUUGCUAAGGAAAAAAGCAAACCUUUUAGGUGCCUAUAGGAAACAAUACCAAGGGAUGGGAAAAAAAAUGUCCUUCCUUCUCAAUAGUCUAUGAUAAAAUGAGUUUAUCCUUGUUCUGUGUAUCCCACUUCAGCUGUCCUGGUCCGUUAGCAAAAAAGAAAAUGAAAAUGGAAGCAACAGCCUAGAAAAGUGUUGUUUAACCUCAGUGGUCCUGGUCCGUUAGCAAAAAAGAAAAUGAAAAUGGAAGCAACAGCCAAGAAAAGUGUUGUUUAACCUAUAAAGAAGAGGGCAUACCUUCUUACAAGAUCUACUGAGCUAAAAAGUUGGGGGAUGCCCAGAACUUAAAUUAGCUAUGACUGCUGCUUACUCUCAACUACAGCCUUACUGCGUUACUGGUGUCUGAGAUCAAGGAUAUAGGAAUUCCUGAUUACAAGGUACACACGCUUUCAAUUUUCUGAAUUUAUCUUUUGCUGUAGUUUGUCCUCUCCUGUCUUUCUCCCAUUUUAUCUUGUGCGCUUCUUUAAUUUGCGAGUUAUUCUUUAUUGUUUCACUCCUCAUAAAUGGC
RNAcentral lists this long non-coding RNA (1366 nucleotides) under Nicotiana benthamiana. Its description in RNAcentral is "long non-coding RNA (NBEN_LNC012145)". Lineage: Eukaryota; Viridiplantae; Streptophyta; Magnoliopsida; Solanales; Solanaceae. The record is from RNAcentral.